Molecule: ribosomal RNA, 497 nt
Filed under: uncultured bacterium
Lineage: Bacteria
Description: partial 16S ribosomal RNA
Rfam family: Bacterial small subunit ribosomal RNA
Source: RNAcentral
GAUGAGCGCUGGCGGCGUGCCUAAUACAUGCAAGUCGAGCGAACGGACGAGAAGCUUGCUUCUCUGAUGUUAGCGGCGGACGGGUGAGUAACACGUGGAUAACCUACCUAUAAGACCGGGAUAACUUCGGGAAACCGGAGCUAAUACCGGAUAAUAUUUUGAACCGCAUGGUUCAAAAGUGAAAGACGGUCUUGCUGUCACUUAUAGAUGGAUCCGCGCUGCAUUAGCUAGUUGGUAAGGUAACGGCUUACCAAGGCAACGAUGCAUAGCCGACCUGAGAGGGUGAUCGGCCACACUGGAACUGAGACACGGUCCAGACUCCUACGGGAGGCAGCAGUAGGGAAUCUUCCGCAAUGGGCGAAAGCCUGACGGAGCAACGCCGCGUGAGUGAUGAAGGUCUUCGGAUCGUAAAACUCUGUUAUUAGGGAAGAACAUAUGUGUAAGUAACUGUGCACAUCUUGACGGUACCUAAUCAGAAAGCCACGGCUAACUACGUG